UGGGGAAUAUUGCACAAUGGGCGCAAGCCUGAUGCAGCAACGCCGCGUGAACGAUGAAGGUCUUCGGAUCGUAAAGUUCUGUUGCAGGGGAAGAUAAUGACGGUACCCUGUGAGGAAGCCCCGGCUAACUACGUGCCAGCAGCCGCGGUAAUACGUAGGGGGCUAGCGUUAUCCGGAUUUACUGGGCGUAAAGGGUGCGUAGGUGGUCUUUCAAGUCGGUGGUUAAAGGCUACGGCUCAACCGUAGUUAGCCUCCGAAACUGGAAGACUUGAGUGCAGGAGAGGAAAGUAGAAUUCCCAGUGUAGCGGUGAAAUGCGUAGAUAUUGGGAGGAACACCAGUAGCGAAGGCGGCUUUCUGGACUGCAACUGACACUGAGGCACGAAAGCGUGGGGAGCAAACAGG
This 403-nucleotide ribosomal RNA is filed under the name Verrucomicrobiota bacterium. RNAcentral's name for it is "Verrucomicrobia bacterium partial 16S ribosomal RNA". It matches the Rfam family "Bacterial small subunit ribosomal RNA", at positions 355 to 776 of the family's 1533-position model. The record is from RNAcentral. Lineage: Bacteria; Pseudomonadati; Verrucomicrobiota.